CGGCGGACGGGUGAGUAACACGUGGAUAACCUACCUAUAAGACUGGGAUAACUUCGGGAAACCGGAGCUAAUACCGGAUAAUAUAUUGAACCGCAUGGUUCAAUAGUGAAAGACGGUUUUGCUGUCACUUAUAGAUGGACCCGCGCCGCAUUAGCUAGUUGGUAAGGUAACGGCUUACCAAGGCAACGAUGCGUAGCCGACCUGAGAGGGUGAUCGGCCACACUGGAACUGAGACACGGUCCAG
This 244-nucleotide ribosomal RNA is filed under the name uncultured Staphylococcus sp. RNAcentral describes it as "partial 16S ribosomal RNA". It matches the Rfam family "Bacterial small subunit ribosomal RNA", at positions 96 to 334 of the family's 1533-position model. Lineage: Bacteria; Bacillati; Bacillota; Bacilli; Caryophanales; Staphylococcaceae. The record is from RNAcentral.